GACGAACGCUGGCGGCGUGCUUAACACAUGCAAGUCGAACGGAAAGGCCCUGCUUUUGUGGGGUGCUCGAGUGGCGAACGGGUGAGUAACACGUGAGUAACCUGCCCUUGACUUUGGGAUAACUUCAGGAAACUGGGGCUAAUACCGGAUAGGAGCUCCUGCUGCAUGGUGGGGGUUGGAAAGUUUCGGCGGUUGGGGAUGGACUCGCGGCUUAUCAGCUUGUUGGUGGGGUAGUGGCUUACCAAGGCUUUGACGGGUAGCCGGCCUGGGAGGGUGACCGGCCACAUGGGGCCUGAGGUACGGCCCAGACGCCUACGGGAGGCAGCAGUGGGAAAUAUUGCACAAUGGUCGGAAGCCUGAUGCAGCAACGCCGCGUGCGUGAUGACGGCCUUCGGGUUGUAAACCGCUUUCGCCUGUGACGAAGCGUGAGUGGCGGUAAUGGGUAAAGAAGCACCGGCUAACUACGUG
This 468-nucleotide ribosomal RNA is filed under the name uncultured bacterium. RNAcentral's name for it is "partial 16S ribosomal RNA". It matches the Rfam family "Bacterial small subunit ribosomal RNA", at positions 28 to 507 of the family's 1533-position model. The record is from RNAcentral.